GCGAAGUAGAUGGUUUCAGAGUGGAAAGAAAUGGCUCGGUGGAGGGUAAAGGUACCCGGACCGACAACGGACACAGGUGGGAGAGGAGAGUGUCUUAAGGCCAGGGGGAGAACGGUUGGUAAGGAACUCGGAAAAAUGACCCCGUAAAUUAGGGAUAAGGGGGGCCACCAUCAGGUGGCCGCAGAGAAUAGGCCCAAGCGACUGUUUACCAAAAACAUAGGUUUCUGCUAAGUCGAAAGACGAUGUAUAGGAGCUGACGCCUGCCCGGUGCUGGAAGGUUAAGGGGAGCUGUUAGAGCAAUCGAAGCAGUGAACUUAAGCCCCAGUAAACGGCGGCCGUAACUAUAACGGUCCUAAGGUAGCGAAAUUCCUUGUCGGGUAAGUUCCGACCCGCACGAAAGGCGUAACGAUUUGGGCACUGUCUCA
This 425-nucleotide ribosomal RNA is filed under the name Clostridioides difficile. Its description in RNAcentral is "bacterial LSU rRNA". It matches the Rfam family "Bacterial large subunit ribosomal RNA", at positions 1585 to 2023 of the family's 2925-position model. The record is from RNAcentral. Lineage: Bacteria; Bacillati; Bacillota; Clostridia; Peptostreptococcales; Peptostreptococcaceae.